RNAcentral lists this ribosomal RNA (274 nucleotides) under uncultured bacterium. Its description in RNAcentral is "partial 16S ribosomal RNA". It matches the Rfam family "Bacterial small subunit ribosomal RNA", at positions 523 to 796 of the family's 1533-position model. The record is from RNAcentral.
AUACGGAGGGAGCAAGCGUUGUUCGGAAUCACUGGGCGUAAAGCGAGUGUAGGUUGUCAGGUAAGUAGGAUGUGAAAGCCCGGGGCUCAACCCCGGAAUUGCAUUCUAAACUGCCUGGCUAGAGUCCCGGAGAGGGAGGUGGAAUUCCGAGUGUAGAGGUGAAAUUCGUAGAUAUUCGGAGGAACACCAGAGGCGAAGGCGACCUCCUGGACGGUGACUGACACUGAGACUCGAAAGCGUGGGGAGCAAACAGGAUUAGAUACCCGAGUAGUCC